GCUGGGGCGCGAUUCACAUCUCAACCGAAAUAUUUGUAAAGCGAUACGAACGAGUUACGAGAUGAAAUCCGCAAUGUUCAAAAACGCGAUUCAUAACACACAUACUUUGAUCUCGUUUUCAUAUCGCUAGUUCGUAUUUGGAUGGCUUGAGUGAAAUGAAUGAAACUAUAUUUUUUUAAUUGCCAUGCAAAAAUUAUAAAUACUACCACUAAUUGUUUUAAAUAAUUUUGUUCCUACAAUAUAUUUUGUUGGAAUUAGUGACGAUAGCAAGUAUCAAAAAACGGCUUUUUAAUUCAACGUUGAAGAAAUUCAUAACCUGUGGCACUUUUGACAGCCGCCAUGUUUUCUUUUCUACAUAAGAUGUUUUCUUAUUUUCGUGUCAACGUAGUUUUUUUGGAAAAUAAGAAGAAAGGAAGUUUAACUAACUUAGAGAAAUACGACUGAGACAUGUAAGUAUCAAUGUAUUAACCUAUUUUUUUUGAAAUAUAAAUGUUACCGGUUGUAGUCAAGAAGGUAUUGUAAUUUACGAUGUAUCCAAUUUCUGUUUUGAAUUGUUUUAGAAUCAUAAACGAGAUGAACACAAGCAGCAGCCGAUGUGCUUGAGUUGCAGAAGGAGCAACUGCGCUGUGAGAGGGCGACGGCUUCAGCCCUCACAAUGAUAGCUGAUUAGCUGAAGCAAUGAACAGACAGGCUGCAGUCAAUGAGAGGCUUCUUGAGGAGGGGCUCCUCAUAUGGAAAAAGGCUAACGAAAAGAACAAUCAAGACUGGCGGUGCGUGGGAGGAUCCCGUCCCUGCGCAUGCGCCUGGCCUUCAAUGGCCUCACGCCUCUCUUCUUCCUCUUCUUCAUGCGUCAAUUCAAACAGAGGAGCACCUGUGAUUACUGAUUACCUAAGUUCCUAUAUACAAUAAUAGUUUAAUAAUUGUUUACAAAAUAUUGUAUGUAUAAGUAUUAAUAAUAAAAUUAUACAAAAGGCUUAAAGCAUUUUGUACCAGCCAACCUAUAGGAGAGAAUAUGAGAAAAAUAAUAAGACAUUAUCUGUAGCUUUAUUAAGUGGUAAAGGGACCUAAUUACUACCUAUAUUUUUUUAGUAUUUGUGAUAAUUCAUAGAAUUUAUUAGUUCUAUCAAUAAAUAAAAUAUACAUGCAUUACAAUGUGUUUAAUUCAUUAACUUACAAUUUGCACACUGAGGGAA
Non-coding RNA from Plutella xylostella (diamondback moth), 1193 nucleotides. The record is from RefSeq and is a predicted model, not a curated record. Lineage: Eukaryota; Metazoa; Arthropoda; Insecta; Lepidoptera; Plutellidae.